UAGGGAAUAUUAGUAAUGGGCGAAAGCCUGAACUAGCAACACCGCGUGUGCGAAGAAGGCCUUCGGGUUGUAAAGCACUUUUUGAGAGGAUGAGGAAGGACGGUACUCUCAGAAUAAGUCUCGGCUAACUACGUGCCAGCAGCCGCGGUAACACGUAGGGGGCGGGCGUUAUCCGGAAUUACUGGGUGUAAAGCGCGUGUAGGUGGUUCUGUAAGUAGGGCGUGAAAGCUCCUGGCUCAACUGGGAGAGGCCGUUCUAAACUGCAGAGCUAGAGGAUGGUAGAGGGAGGUGGAAUUCCGGGUGUAGCGGUGGAAUGCGCAGAUAUCCGGAGGAACACCAGUGGCGAAAGCGGCCUCCUGGACCAUUCCUGACACUCAGACGCGAAAGCUAGGGUAGCAAACG
This 402-nucleotide ribosomal RNA is filed under the name uncultured prokaryote. Its description in RNAcentral is "bacterial SSU rRNA". It matches the Rfam family "Bacterial small subunit ribosomal RNA", at positions 355 to 774 of the family's 1533-position model. The record is from RNAcentral.